UACAGGGGUCCCGAGCGUUGUUCGGAUUCAUUGGGCGUAAAGGGUGCGUAGGCGGCGGGGCAAGUCUGAUGUGAAAUCCCGGGGCUCAACCCCGGAACUGCAUUGGAUACUGCCUUGCUAGAGUACUGGAGAGGGAACUGGAAUUUACGGUGUAGCAGUGAAAUGCGUAGAUAUGACCCGGAACACCGAUUGCGAAGGCAGCCCGCUAAGCAACUAUUGACGCUGAGGCACGAAAGCGUGGGGAUCAAACAGG
Molecule: ribosomal RNA, 253 nt
Filed under: uncultured bacterium
Lineage: Bacteria
Description: partial 16S ribosomal RNA
Rfam family: Bacterial small subunit ribosomal RNA
Source: RNAcentral